RNAcentral lists this ribosomal RNA (385 nucleotides) under uncultured bacterium. Its description in RNAcentral is "bacterial SSU rRNA". It matches the Rfam family "Bacterial small subunit ribosomal RNA", at positions 30 to 422 of the family's 1533-position model. The record is from RNAcentral.
AUUGAACGCUGGCGGCAUGCCUUACACAUGCAAGUCGAACGGUAACAGGUUAAGCUGACGAGUGGCGAACGGGUGAGUAAUAUAUCGGAACGUGCCCAGUAGUGGGGGAUAGCCCGGCGAAAGCCGGAUUAAUACCGCAUACGAUCUAUGGAUGAAAGCGGGGGAUCGCAAGACCUCGCGCGAUUGGAGCGGCCGAUAUCAGAUUAGCUAGUUGGUGGGGUAAAAGCCCACCAAGGCGACGAUCUGUAGCUGGUCUGAGAGGACGACCAGCCACACUGGAACUGAGACACGGUCCAGACUCCUACGGGAGGCAGCAGUGGGGAAUUUUGGACAAUGGGCGCAAGCCUGAUCCAGCAAUGCCGCGUGCAGGAUGAAGGCCUUCGGG